RNAcentral lists this long non-coding RNA (3259 nucleotides) under Daucus carota (carrot). RNAcentral's name for it is "long non-coding RNA (DCAR_LNC002951)". The record is from RNAcentral. Lineage: Eukaryota; Viridiplantae; Streptophyta; Magnoliopsida; Apiales; Apiaceae.
CACCAACCUCAUCAACUUUCCUGAACACUCCUCGACCACUGGAUCCUCAACUCUGUCUCCUCGCCUAGCAUUAGCCUUACUCACAAUCUCAAUCAAUCAUCUCAUCUUUAAGCCUUUCUGAAAUGGUUAGAAAGGAAUAGCAAGGGUGAGCAACAAUGCUCAGCAAGUAAUAAUAAACAAUGAUAGUUCUGAAAUGAUAUAACAGAAGUUCACGAGUUCAAGAUAUAAGAGGAUUCAACCUGAGUUCAUGAGUUCAUGGUAUUGUAUAGAAUGAUUUACAAUACCUUGCAGCAUUUAAACUGAGAAAUUCAAUCUUUCCAAAGAAUUAUUGAAUUGGACUAUCACAUUUUAAUUAAAACCAAGGUUAGGCAGCUGAUCAGUUCCGCACUAACCCCGAGCAGGCCCCGCCAUGCUCUAUCACUGGAUCCAAGGCACUCAUUGGCCUAACAUGACCACGAAUCUGGUCCACAGGUUUAUAUAAAAACAAUAAUCCAAUUCUCUAAUUCAAUUCAAGAAGCCAAUGUAAAUUAACAGAACAUCAUCAUAAAUAUCAUCAACAACAGAAUAAUUCCAAUUCAAACUUUGAUAAUAAUCUAUUCAUAAAUCAUGAUCCAUCAUUUCAUAAAUCACAGUUCAGGAAAUCCUCAACUAUUCAGUAUCCUCCAUUAUCGGCUAAGCAACUGAAUUUAGCCUGCUAAACCAGCAUGACAAUGGCGGGUUGAAUAAUCAAGAAGAUCCCAAUUCAUUCAAAGCUCUAACUAUCACUGAGCAACACAUGCUUCAAUGACAAUCUGAACUUCGAAUUAAUUUGUAAAACGGAAAUUCUUUAGAAACUUGAAGAUUAGAAACAAUGGGUUAGAAUACUCGCACUUUCGAACAUUGAAAAGAAAGGUAUGAAUACUUGAAACAUAUACCAAAGGAAUGGAUCUGAAUAUUUGCAAUAUAUCCGAGAGAAAGGUUUAGGAUACUUGCAACACAUAUAGAAAAGAAUGGAUCAGAAUAUGCAAUAUAUCCAAAAGCAGGGUGUAGGAUACUUGCCUUAAAUCUGACUCCAGUCUCACAUCUCUAUCUCAUCUUUCAACUUUCACAAUCUAUGCAUCUCGUAAUCUCUAGACCAUCUCUAGCUAUACUCUAUUCGCCACUUCGCUUCGCUUACUCAAUCAUCCCUUAUUCGCUUUGCAAUACCAAUCCGACUUUCUGACGUCUUCCAGCGUACACGUCUCGUCCAAAUCCUUUAUGAGAAUAAGAUAAUACUAUAGUCACUAAACAAUAUAUCGCAUACACAUAUCACGUAUACCGAUACCCACUUAUAUACCCCUUUAAACCUAUCACAUAUCACUUAACACAUAAUCAUGCUUUGACUCUAAUAUAUAGUCAUAUCAUUCUCCACAUAGUAUGUCACAAUUCAAAACUCAUAUAAAUCAUAUCGAUAAUCUGACAGAGUCUCGUCUAUUUAUAAGACUAUCCACCUGUCAACCUAUUCUCAAUCAACAACCAAUCAACCAAUUUCAAUUCCUAUAAACCAUAUGUUCUUAUCCAAUAUCAGUCAAGUCAUGACACUAUGUCAUUCAAAUCAUUUAUCAUGUAUAUAAUAUCAAGAAUAAACAUAUAUAUCACGUAAUCAUCAAUUAAUAGCAAUCAAAUAACAUAUAAUCACAUUUUGCACAUUUAACAAAAAUUAUUCACAUUCUCGACUCCAUCAUAAUAUUAUGUCAUAUCAAACUAGACUUUAUAAGCUUCUGUCUCUCUUUCGUUUCACUUGAUUCCGACUUACGGAUCAAAAGUUAUGAUCAAAACUGUUUUCUAACUCCUCUGUCGGCACAUAACACAUCAAACAGAUAGCAGGCAACACACCACACAUAAGGUUUCCCAUCCCAAUUGAUAUUAAAUCAAGUCUUGGGUUAAAACUGAUUUUUCGGGAAUUUUCUGGAAUUUUUAAACAUUUUUCGGAAUUAAAAUCGAUAAAAGAAUCACUUUUCGGAUAAAUAAUCAAGUCCCAAAUACUUGAAAUUGGACUUGAAAUCAUUCAUAAACAAUAAUAGAGCCUUGAAAAUAAUUUAGAAAAAUAUUUCAAAGCUCGAAACUAUUUUUGGGAUUUUUAAAUCAAAAAGGAAUAAUUAAAUCCAAAUAAUUAAUCAAUUAAAAUCAAUUAAUAAUUAAUUAAAUUAAUUAAUCAAUUAAUAUUUAAAUUAAUUGACCAAUUAAAAUAAUUAAUUACUAAUUAAAAUUAAUUAAUAAACUAAUUUAGAUUUAUUUUUGAAUAAAGAAAUAAUUAAAAACUAUUUUUGAAAUUCAAAUAAUUAAAUAAAAACAAUUUUUGAAAAUUAAAAUCAAAAGGUUUAAAGUGUCAGAUUCAUAAACUUUUAACACAGGGUGAAAAGUGUAACUUUUGAGAAGUUUGAUGGACUGUUUGCGAAAAACGAAAGUGCAGUGCUUGCACUUCAUCAUCUUUACAAGUUGGGUGGCCAAACGGCAAUUUGCCGCCGGCCACCACUAACUUCGCCGGAUACGGCCACAGAGGCCACCACUGCCUCCCAGAAUCUCCAGAAUCACUCUAGAGGCCACCAGGAACCUAUUCGUGCCAUCACUUUAAGCAAACAAUCGGCCAUUUGGCCGUAAAUCCCGCCGAGAAAACUCGACGCCGCCAUGGCUGAGCUUCUCCGACGAACACGACCAGACCUCCUCCACUCGAUUUGAAGCUACCAAUCGAUUCUACACCUCAAAAUACACAUGCUAGUACCUUCCAAUCAUACCCCGAACUACCAGAUUACAAACCCCCAAUUUCCAAUUAAAAAUAUCCAAGAACACUCAAGAACAUUCAAGAACACAACUAAAUAAUCAAACCCACUUUUCUAGGUGUUAUGGAACUCAAAAAUCAACAUAUAAUAUACCAAAACGACGAGAAAAACACGUUCUACAACAUAGAAGCAUCAAAACAAUCAAACAACCAAGUUUGCAAAAAUUCACUAUUUAAAUCUUAAUAAUUCGAAUCUUAAAGCUUCAAUUACUCCCUACCUGUGAAUCUCAGGUUGUUUUUGAUGAUUGAUUAGAGUUCUACUCUUCGAUAUCUUCGAUUUGACUAUUCGCACGCUUGAUUCUGACUCCAAUAACGCCUUCAAAUCUUCGUUUGAUUAUGAAGAACACGAAGAACACCGCUCGGUUUCUCUCGGUAUUCGUGCAGAGAAACUGGUGAAAUGAUUUUACGGGUGAAAAUAAGCUCUAGAAAGGUCUAUUUAUAUUUACAAAUAAUUGGUACCCC